Molecule: long non-coding RNA, 664 nt
Filed under: Phoenix dactylifera (date palm)
Lineage: Eukaryota; Viridiplantae; Streptophyta; Magnoliopsida; Arecales; Arecaceae
Description: long non-coding RNA (PDAC_LNC011027)
Source: RNAcentral
GAGGGGCAAUCCACCAUGUGGAGUGAUUGAUUAUAACCCUAUUUGAUUUUGAUGAGCUUAAAGCAUUUGAGUGUAUCUUAUACUAAUGAAUUCAAUCUAGUGUUUCAGCAAAUAUUUGUAAAUUUAUGUUUAAGUGUCUCUAGCUUUGGUUCAAUAGAUUUUGGCUAAGUAUGGAACUCAGUUUGAACCAAAGUCUGAAGCUCGAGUCGACUCCGGAAGAUUACGAGUCGACUCCAAGUGUUUCAGAAGCUCUAGCACAUGCUCGAGUCGACUCCGGUACACUACGAGUCGACUCCGACUGAGAACUGACAGAAAGACAGAAAGUUGAUUUUCAGACCCUGUCAGCAAGUCGACUCCAGAAGGGUUCGAGUCGACUCCGAUGGUUGCCGAGUCGACUCCCGACGUUUCCGAGUCGACUCCAAAGGGUAACAGAAGAAAGACAGAAUAAUGUAUUUCAGAUCCUGCAACCGAGUCGACUCCAGAAGGUUACGAGUCGACUCCGAAGUUUGGCGAGUCGACUCCUAGUUAAGUACGAGUCGACUCUCAGAGGAAAGCAAGACUAGAAGGCAGUUCAAGCCAAAACACAGAGGAUCAGUUUUCGGAUCCUGAGAGCCGAGUCGACUCCAACAAAGUGCGAGUCGACUCCGAGACAGUUCAACUCAAA